GACCCAAUUACGUGCCAGCAGUCGCCGGUAACACGUAGAAGGACUAGUGUUAUUCAUCUUUAUUAGGUUUAAAGGGUACCUUGACGGAAAAUCCAGCCCUAAUAGGAACUAAUUUUCUAGAGUUUUAUGAAAGAAGGUGCGAAUUUCCGGAGGAAAGUUGAUAUUUUAUGAUACUGGAAGACGGGUAACGGCGAAGGCAACCUUCUAUGUAAAAACUGACGUUGAGGGACGAAGCCUUGGGUAACGAAAAGGAUUAGAUACCUAGUAGUCCUUGGAGAAAAUUAUGAAUGUCAUAGGUUAGAGGGAAAGUGAGUUAAUAGCAGCUUAGUUGUUGUGGUUAUGUAACCGUGCGUACAUUUCAACGGUUCAGAAUACAGAUAACUGAACCUUCAGCAACAAUUAAGACUUGUAUAGCUAUGCUAAACUGUAUUAGAAUUUGGUCUACACAAAUUGCUACUAAUCCGCCUAGGAUCAUAAACUGUAUUAGAAUUUAGUAUACACAAGACGCUACUAAUCAAUCUAUGAUCCUAUAUUGUAUUAAUAUAUAACAACAAGUAUAGUUGUUUCCCCCCCCCCCUUUCCAUAUUGGCCUAUAAAUGAAAGUGAAAGCAUUCCACCUCAUGAGUAAAGCGGCAACGCCCAAAUUGAAAUCAUUAGACCGUUUCUGAAACCAGUAGUGAAGUAUGUUAUUUAAUUCGAUAAUCCGCGAAUAACCUUACCACAUUAUGCAUUGAAUAUUAUUCAAUUAUUACAAGCGCUGCACGGCUGUCUUCAGUUAAUGUCGUGAGAUUUUGGUUUGUUCCAUAAAUUAACGAAAACCCUUGCUUUAUUUGUUUUUAUAAAGUAGUUCUCCAUUAUAAAGGAUAAGUUAAAAGGGACUAAGACAAGUCAUCAUGUCCUUAA
RNAcentral lists this ribosomal RNA (903 nucleotides) under Chaetothyriales sp. Its description in RNAcentral is "SSU rRNA". It matches the Rfam family "Bacterial small subunit ribosomal RNA", at positions 494 to 1204 of the family's 1533-position model. The record is from RNAcentral. Lineage: Eukaryota; Fungi; Ascomycota; Eurotiomycetes; Chaetothyriales.